RNAcentral lists this ribosomal RNA (372 nucleotides) under uncultured bacterium. RNAcentral's name for it is "bacterial SSU rRNA". It matches the Rfam family "Bacterial small subunit ribosomal RNA", at positions 527 to 896 of the family's 1533-position model. The record is from RNAcentral.
GUAGGGUGCGAGCAUUGUCCGGAAUUAUUGGGCGUAAAGAGCUCGUAGGCGGCUUGUCGCGUCGGAUGUGAAAGCCCGGGGCUUAACCCCGGGUCUGCAUUCGAUACGGGCAGGCUAGAGUUCGGUAGGGGAGAUCGGAAUUCCUGGUGUAGCGGUGAAAUGCGCAGAUAUCAGGAGGAACACCGGUGGCGAAGGCGGAUCUCUGGGCCGAUACUGACGCUGAGGAGCGAAAGCGUGGGGAGCGAACAGGAUUAGAUACCCUGGUAGUCCACGCCGUAAACGUUGGGAACUAGGUGUGGGCGACAUCCCACGUUGUCCGUGCCGCAGCUAACGCAUUAAGUUCCCCGCCUGGGGAGUACGGCCGCAAGGCUA